Molecule: ribosomal RNA, 465 nt
Filed under: Vreelandella stevensii
Lineage: Bacteria; Pseudomonadati; Pseudomonadota; Gammaproteobacteria; Oceanospirillales; Halomonadaceae
Description: partial 16S ribosomal RNA
Rfam family: Bacterial small subunit ribosomal RNA
Source: RNAcentral
CCUACGGGGGGCAGCAGUGGGGAAUAUUGGACAAUGGGGGGAACCCUGAUCCAGCCAUGCCGCGUGUGUGAAGAAGGCCCUCGGGUUGUAAAGCACUUUCAGUGAGGAAGAACGCCUGGUGGUUAAUACCCAUCAGGAAAGACAUCACUCACAGAAGAAGCACCGGCUAACUCCGUGCCAGCAGCCGCGGUAAUACGGAGGGUGCGAGCGUUAAUCGGAAUUACUGGGCGUAAAGCGCGCGUAGGUGGCUUGAUAAGCCGGUUGUGAAAGCCCCGGGCUCAACCUGGGAACGGCAUCCGGAACUGUCAAGCUAGAGUGCAGGAGAGGAAGGUAGAAUUCCCGGUGUAGCGGUGAAAUGCGUAGAGAUCGGGAGGAAUACCAGUGGCGAAGGCGGCCUUCUGGACAGACACUGACACUGAGGUGCGAAAGCGUGGGUAGCAAACAGGAUUAGAUACCCCGGUAGUC